AAUUUUAACCAAAUUUCCAUAAGCUUUACGUAAACUAAUCACGAGCGCAUUCAAAAGCUUAAACAGACAGAAACUAUAAAAUUAUCAGUUCAGCAAAUAUCUAACAAUAACUUAUAAUCAUGUAGCUUAGUAAAAUUGAAGAAAAGAGGAAAGAUAAGAGCGAACCUCAAAUCAAUAAACUUUCUUCAAUAUUCAAAAGGCGAAUUUGUACAACACAUUAUCGUUCCGACAGCUAAAGUGAAGUUUCAUCAACGAAAUCCGGACCGGGAACCUCGUCGUUCGACUCAAAGUGCAAUAACUUGUCAACUUUUGGUAUAAAUCAACCAAAUCGGAACUUCUAACGGCUAAACAAACUCGGCGGCUCUUGACUGGAGCUCUCAUCGGUGAACCCAUACGAAAACAGCAACCUCGACCUCCACUUUGAUGUCACCGUUUACAUCGAAAACAGGGUUGUUCUGGGGUGUUCUUAGCUGGGAUUUGGUGGUCUAAGGUUGGAUUUGAGGGCUGUUUUGUUGUCUUUUUGGGGCUGAAAUUUCCAGCUAGUUUGGAUGGUGUUUUAAAACGGCAGCUCGUAGAAGACGAUGGGCAUGGUUGAAACUUUUUGGAAUGGAGACCGUUCUUCUUCUGCUGAAGAAGCAAAAGAUCUGAAGGCUACCUCUUUUGUUGUCUCUUAGCUUUAGGUCUCUCGGGCGAGGCAGCUCGUAGAAGACGAUGGGCGUGGUUGAAACUUUUUGGAAUGGAGACCAUUCUUCUUCUGCUGAAGAAGCAAAAGAUCUGAAGGCUACCUCUUUUGUUGUCUCUUAGCUUUAGGUCUCUCGGGCGUUACUUUGUGUUGUUCUUUUAGAGAGAAACGACUGAUUGGUAUUUUC
RNAcentral lists this long non-coding RNA (869 nucleotides) under Nicotiana benthamiana. RNAcentral's name for it is "long non-coding RNA (NBEN_LNC005914)". The record is from RNAcentral. Lineage: Eukaryota; Viridiplantae; Streptophyta; Magnoliopsida; Solanales; Solanaceae.